UACGUAGGGGGCAAGCGUUGUCCGGAUUUAUUGGGCGUAAAGAGCGUGUAGGCGGCCAGGUAGGUCAGCUGUGAAAACUCGAGGCUCAACCUCGAGAUGUCGGCUGAAACCAUCUGGCUAGAGUCCGGAAGAGGAGAAUGGAAUUCUCGGUGUAGCGGUGAAAUGCGCAGAUAUCGGGAAGAACACCCGUGGCGAAGGCGGUUCUCUGGGACGGUACUGACGCUGAGACGCGAAAGCGUGGGGAGCGAACAGG
RNAcentral lists this ribosomal RNA (253 nucleotides) under uncultured bacterium. RNAcentral describes it as "partial 16S ribosomal RNA". It matches the Rfam family "Bacterial small subunit ribosomal RNA", at positions 524 to 776 of the family's 1533-position model. The record is from RNAcentral.